RNAcentral lists this non-coding RNA (89 nucleotides) under Sinomonas sp. RNAcentral's name for it is "ZTP sequence". It matches the Rfam family "ZMP/ZTP riboswitch aptamer (pfl RNA motif)". From Rfam's summary of the family: Previously known as pfl RNA. The record is from RNAcentral. RNAcentral also lists the same sequence under 1 other name. Lineage: Bacteria; Bacillati; Actinomycetota; Actinomycetes; Micrococcales; Micrococcaceae.
UGGACUGGUCGCGACUGGCGUUGGGUGGGUCACCACCGGGGAGCGGCAUGCUGUUGGGACACCGCGGAUCGUACGCCUGGGCCGGGGGU